This is a transfer RNA of Alistipes sp. CHKCI003, 74 nucleotides long. It matches the Rfam family "tRNA". From Rfam's summary of the family: Transfer RNA (tRNA) molecules are approximately 80 nucleotides in length. Their secondary structure includes four short double-helical elements and three loops (D, anti-codon, and T loops). NCBI's taxonomy places the organism in Bacteria, Pseudomonadati, Bacteroidota, Bacteroidia, Bacteroidales, Rikenellaceae. The record is from Rfam.
GGCACCAUAGCUUAAUUGAAUAGAGCAUCUGACUACGGAUCAGAAGGUUAUAGGUUUGAGUCCUAUUGGUGUCA